AUUGCCAUACCUGCAAAAAAUACAAUAGAGAUUAUUACUCAUGCAUACUUGCAAAUAAAAAUGCUACUAUCUAAUCUGAACAAUAUAACAAUGUGAACAAGUAGUUUACAAGUUUCACAACAGUACUGAGAGAACACAUAAAAUCGCACAAGUUAUUCACUUAACAAUAACCCAUAUUGACUUAUUUUUAACAAAAUACACACUCAUUACAAUCCAUGUUCAGCACUUUGAACAAUGUACAUGUUAGAAAAGUUGCAGCAUUUAUUGAACAUGUCAUCCCAUAAUGAUAAGGACCCAUAACCCAAAUAAGCUAAAGAAAACCUUUCCCAUUAUAUAUAUAUAUAUAUAAU
Molecule: unclassified non-coding RNA, 350 nt
Filed under: Hevea brasiliensis (rubber tree)
Lineage: Eukaryota; Viridiplantae; Streptophyta; Magnoliopsida; Malpighiales; Euphorbiaceae
Source: RNAcentral